This is a long non-coding RNA of Pongo pygmaeus (Bornean orangutan), 1248 nucleotides long. RefSeq lists it as uncharacterized. Lineage: Eukaryota; Metazoa; Chordata; Mammalia; Primates; Hominidae. The transcript is spliced from 3 exons. The record is from RefSeq and is a predicted model, not a curated record.
GGGUGUGCAGCCACCAUGGGAAUCCGUUACACUCGGCUCCCCAAUGGGUGGCCCAGACGUUUAACACAGGACACUUACUUUUAUGUGUAAACAGGUCUCAAACAAAGCUCGGACUAAUGCUUCAUAUUCUUCUUGGACUUCUUUUCUAAUCUGCUUCUUGAGAUUCAGAUUCACCUCUUCCAAGUCUGCCGGUUCCCGCUCCCUGGCCAUCUGCCAUUGAAUCCAGCCUGUCCUUUCAGCCUGGGGGAUCCUCCUGGCUCUGAUUUGCUUGUCCUGGAAGGCCUAGGGCACUGUCCUAUCAUUGUAACCCCAGUGCUCCACUGACCUCCAGGGAACGCCUACCAUGGACUUGGCCAAGAGAAGAAAAAUGGAAACGACCUAAAAUGCCUAACAAUGGAAACAAGUUGAAUCCAUCUGACUCAUAGACAUGACGAAAUACUGAAUGGCCACCAUAAAUGGACAUAUGUUUAUUGAUGAGGAAAGAUCUUUAUAACAUAUUGUCAAGUGAACAAAAAAGCAUGCUAUAAAAAAAGGUCAUGCAGAAUAAUCUUAUUUUGUUAAAAAAAAAAAAGUGUGUAUCAGUCCAUUUUCACACUGCUGAUAAAGACAUACCUGAGAAUGGGCAAUUUACAAAGAAAGAAGUUUAAUGGACUUACAGUUCAACAUGGCUGGGGAGGCCUCACAAUCAUGGUGGAAGGCAAGGAGGAGCAAGUCACGUCUUACAUGGAUGGCAGCAAAGAAAGAGAGCUUGUGCAGGGAAACUCCUGUUUUUAAAACCAUCAGAUCUUGUGAGACUCAUUCACUAUGGUAAGAACAGGGCAGUAAAGACCCACCCCCAUGAUUCAAUCACCUCCCACUGGGUUCCUCCCACAACAUGUGGCAAUUGUGGGAGUUACAAUUCAAGGUGAGAUUUGGGUGGGGACACAGCCAAACUAUAUCAAAGUGCAUGAGUAGAAAAAUGUUAUAAAGUUUGGAAGAAACUAUGUCAAAAUAAUAAUAGUGGAGGCUAGGUGCUGUGGCUCACAUCUGUAAUCCCAGCACUUUGGGAGGCCAAGGAGGGAUUGCUUGAGGCCAGGAGUUUGAGAUCAGCCUGGCCAACAAAGUGAGACCCCAUCUUUACAAAAAAAAAAUACAAAAACUAGCUGGGCAUGGUGGUGUGUGUCUGUAGUCCUAGCUUCAGGAGGCUGAGGUGGGAGGAGCACUUGAGCCCAGGAAUUUGAAGCUGCAGUGAGCUAUGAUCAGGCCACU